CGAAAUUCGUUGAUGAGAACAAAGCCGGAUUUAUAUUUAUUUACAGAGAGCCUGUGGCUGGUGUGAACAGGCAAUAAGUGAAUCGGGAUAUCCUCUCUGAGAAGCAGGUUGAAAGAAAGAUUAGUAAACCUCGCCGGUAUCCCCCGUUACAGGGAUGGCAUAUGUCAGUAUGCGACAGAGUGUUGCAGAGAUUUUCUGCAGAAUCAGGGUGGUAACGCGGAUAGAAUUCGUCCCUCUU
This 238-nucleotide non-coding RNA is filed under the name Dorea sp. RNAcentral's name for it is "T-box sequence". It matches the Rfam family "T-box leader". Rfam says of the family: Uncharged tRNA acts as the effector for transcription antitermination of genes in the T-box leader family. Lineage: Bacteria; Bacillati; Bacillota; Clostridia; Lachnospirales; Lachnospiraceae. The record is from RNAcentral.